AAGACUAUACUUUCAGGGGUCAUUCUAUAGUUCAUUACUUGAGAAGUUUCUCUGAACUUGUAGAGCACCCAGAACCAUGAGGAGGAUGCACAGUGUUCUCUCCUGAGCAUGAAGCCAGCUUUUGAUGUUACUUUUGCAACUACCAAUAGCCAUUGAUAAUCUCUCUUCUCUUCCUUUGGAAGAGUAAGAGGGAGAGAAUGCAGUCUGAGUGGU
Artibeus jamaicensis (Jamaican fruit-eating bat) is the source of this 213-nucleotide small nucleolar RNA. RefSeq annotates it as small nucleolar RNA U3. NCBI's taxonomy places the organism in Eukaryota, Metazoa, Chordata, Mammalia, Chiroptera, Phyllostomidae. The record is from RefSeq and is a predicted model, not a curated record. The transcript has a single exon.